Molecule: long non-coding RNA, 1514 nt
Filed under: Arabidopsis thaliana (thale cress)
Lineage: Eukaryota; Viridiplantae; Streptophyta; Magnoliopsida; Brassicales; Brassicaceae
Description: potential natural antisense gene, locus overlaps with AT3G03700 (AT3G03702)
Source: RNAcentral
GAUCUCUCCUCCUAAAUUUUUGUUUGAUUUCUUCAAUCAAAAGCUCUCUACGACAAACUGCAAAUUCUUCUCCAGAAUCUGCGGCGGAUUCCCUUAUCGGGUAUUCGAUUCCAAAUCGAGACUCCUUCAUGACUCAACAAUUGUUAUAACUAUCUUCUUCUCUGUCUCUACCCACCUCAAGCUCCCUGUUAUCUCGGUGAGCACUUAACAUUUGAAGACGCUGAAUACGUUGUGGAAUUGUUCCAUCAAAUCUCAUGCUCUGAGGAUCUUCAGAAUAAGCUACAUAGUAAGCCAAUACACAUGCCUGUAGCCACGCCAAACCUACCCUUCCCUGAAAACACUCAAAACCAGUUAAUGAAGAGACAGCUCCAACAGAAACAGCACUGAGAAAACAGAAGGAGCUAGUGAGAUCCGAGUCAAUCAGUUUCUCCAACCCUGUUGUGCUUCUGAACUUCUUCCAGGUGGAAAUGCUGUGGCAAGUGAUAAUAUUUUAUCGGUGUACUCAAGCCUCGGAGUAAUCCAGCAACCAUAGAGGGACUGAGUAAUGGCGAAAAGGACAAACACUGCACCUAUACCUGCAUCUACCGCUGAGCCAAUCAAAACAAGCAAGAUUCCUACCGAGCAGGUGAGUAUUGGACUAAGCCAGAACGUUGCUUUGACUGCUCUUGAUGGAUUGUAGAUAAAGAUGCAUUGCCAUGCUAAAGAUGCAAUUCCUGAGACAGCAACAGAUGCUAGUAAAGGAGGGUACCAUUUCUUGAGGUGGAAAUGGUGUGUACUUGCUGAGAUGAGACCGCGAAUGGUGAGAACGAUCACCAAAAGUGAGAUUAAGGUUAGUUGUGAGAAGAGAAGACCCUUGAAAAGAGUUCUAAAGAGUUUUCCUGCUAUGGUUUGUUGUGUUGUUGGAGGUGGUCUACCUUGUUGUUCCUGCAAAAAAAAAAAAAAAAAAAAAAAUGGUGUCUCAUCAACAGGUUAUUCAAAGCUGGUUAAUGUGAAUUCGUUAUGAACAUGCAAGUAAAAAGCACCAUGAAGAAAACAAGAAGAGACAAAAGAGAAGCUGGGUCUUGGUUUUGUUCUUGAGUCAAGAAAUAGUGAUGGAAGUCAACGAGAGAGGAUCAAAACAGAUAGCAUAAAGUAGAAAGCAAAACAGAACCCAGAGAGAGAGAAGAUACAGAGAUCAAGGUGUUUCCUGAUUCUUGAUUCAAAAGAGAGAAAUACCUUGAAGGCGAUUGGAGAAGAAGAAGGAGGAAGAGGAGACAUUAUUCUUGGUUCUUGAAUCUGCACGCGAGAGGCAUGACCGUUGCUUGUUGGUGUAGGCAUAGAUGCGUUGUAUUUGCCAGGAGUGUUCCUUGAAUCCCAAGUUCCACUUAACCAUCUUCAUCAAUCAUCAUUCUUCUGUUGUAUAUAUAUAUGUAUAUAUACAUACAUCUUUGUCAAUAAGUUCUAUCAUUUUGUUGAUGUUUUAUUAAAUGCAUUUCGAAUAUUUAUUAUACAUACUUUAUUCCAUUACUUUGACU